Molecule: long non-coding RNA, 202 nt
Filed under: Carica papaya (papaya)
Lineage: Eukaryota; Viridiplantae; Streptophyta; Magnoliopsida; Brassicales; Caricaceae
Description: long non-coding RNA (CPAP_LNC004933)
Source: RNAcentral
AUGCACUCAUUAUUGUGAAUCUGUAUCUGACAUUCUUUUGCCUUAAUUGGCACUUGGGAUGUCAUAGAAGAGGAUGUGAAUGAAUGCGUAAUAUUUCACUCUUAUAUUGGUGGAGAAGGUUGAGAUAAGAUGCACGGAAAUCUACUUUUAUUUUCAUAAAGGAGACUAUGAACGAGAUGCACGACAUUCAAAUUUUACUUUC